RNAcentral lists this ribosomal RNA (253 nucleotides) under uncultured bacterium. RNAcentral's name for it is "partial 16S ribosomal RNA". It matches the Rfam family "Bacterial small subunit ribosomal RNA", at positions 524 to 776 of the family's 1533-position model. The record is from RNAcentral.
UACAGAGGGUGCAAGCGUUGCUCGGAUUUACUGGGCGUAAAGCGUACGCAGACGGUAAGGAAGGUCGAAUGUGAAAGCCCCGGGCUCAACCCGGGAACUGCAUCCGAAACCCCCUUGCUCGAGUAUGGGAGAGGGAAGCGGAAUUCCUGGUGUAGAGGUGAAAUUCGUAGAUAUCAGGAGGAACAUCAGCGGCGAAGGCGGCUUCCUGGCCCAUUACUGACGUUCAGGUACGAAAGCGUGGGUAGCAAACAGG